This 375-nucleotide ribosomal RNA is filed under the name uncultured Rhodoferax sp. RNAcentral's name for it is "bacterial SSU rRNA". It matches the Rfam family "Bacterial small subunit ribosomal RNA", at positions 1003 to 1382 of the family's 1533-position model. The record is from RNAcentral. Lineage: Bacteria; Pseudomonadati; Pseudomonadota; Betaproteobacteria; Burkholderiales; Comamonadaceae.
GAUAGAGGCGUGCUCGAAAGAGAGCCGUAACACAGGUGCUGCAUGGCUGUCGUCAGCUCGUGUCGUGAGAUGUUGGGUUAAGUCCCGCAACGAGCGCAACCCUUGUCAUAGUUGCUACAUUCAGUUGGGCACUCUAAUGAGACUGCCGGUGACAAGCCGGAGGAAGGUGGGGAUGACGUCAAGUCCUCAUGGCCCUUAUAGGUGGGGCUACACACGUCAUACAAUGGCUGGUACAAAGGGUUGCCAACCGCGAGGGGGAGCUAAUCCCAUAAAGCCAGUCGUAGUCCGGAUCGUAGUCUGCAACUCGACUACGUGAAGUCGGAAUCGCUAGUAAUCGUGGAUCAGAAUGUCACGGUGAAUACGUUCCCGGGUCUU